This 21-nucleotide microRNA is filed under the name Rosa chinensis. RNAcentral describes it as "sRNA RchiOBHm_Chr1g0380835". The record is from RNAcentral. Lineage: Eukaryota; Viridiplantae; Streptophyta; Magnoliopsida; Rosales; Rosaceae.
UUUGGUGUAUAUGAAUGUCCU